Molecule: ribosomal RNA, 253 nt
Filed under: uncultured bacterium
Lineage: Bacteria
Description: partial 16S ribosomal RNA
Rfam family: Bacterial small subunit ribosomal RNA
Source: RNAcentral
UACGGAGGGGGCGAGCGUUAUUCGGAAUUAUUGGGCGUAAAGGGCGCGUAGGCGGCUGAACAAGUCAAAGGUGAAAUCCCUCGGCUCAACUGAGGAACUGCCUUUGAAACUGUUCGGCUUGAGGCCGGGAGGGGGUAGCGGAAUUCCCAGUGUAGCGGUGAAAUGCGCAGAUAUCAGGAGGAACACCGGUGGCGAAGGCGGGUCUCUGGGCCGAUACUGACGCUGAGGAGCGAAAGCGUGGGGAGCGAACAGG